This is a long non-coding RNA of Bos indicus x Bos taurus (hybrid cattle), 452 nucleotides long. NCBI's taxonomy places the organism in Eukaryota, Metazoa, Chordata, Mammalia, Artiodactyla, Bovidae. The record is from Ensembl.
GGUAGAGAGACUUCCCUACAUGUCUUCAGGCAUCUGUCACUUCUGGGGACCAUCAGACUUGGCGGGAGAGACACAGUCCUUGACACGGGAGUCUGAAGACUCAGGGAACACGCGUUCACUGCUGUUGUUCUGAAAACCAGAUUUCAACAGCCAAGCCUUUACCCAAGCCCCUGGGACCACCUGCGUGAAACUCCAUCGAAGCACAAACGUGCAGGAAGGCAUAGAUUUGAGGUUCUAAUUCAUGUUUUUUCGAAUAAAUGUAAAAAACAUAAGACUGAAAUUAAAAAUGCUUGUCUGGGCAACACCAAGGUCACCCAGGUUGCCUUGAAUGGACCCUCAUCACACUUGGGAACAAAGAAAGUAAACCCGAUGGCACUGUGGCCAGAGCCAAAUAAAUGUCAUCUUUCUCAACACAGUAAAUUGACCAGGACUUUAAAGAGCUAGUUCUUCAU